RNAcentral lists this transfer RNA (66 nucleotides) under Micronecta sahlbergii. RNAcentral describes it as "tRNA-Glu". The record is from RNAcentral. Lineage: Eukaryota; Metazoa; Arthropoda; Insecta; Hemiptera; Micronectidae.
AUUCAAUUAGUUUAAAAAAAACAUUUCAUCUUCAGUGAAACAAUGUAUAUAUCUGUACAUUGAAUG